RNAcentral lists this ribosomal RNA (497 nucleotides) under uncultured bacterium. Its description in RNAcentral is "partial 16S ribosomal RNA". It matches the Rfam family "Bacterial small subunit ribosomal RNA", at positions 28 to 507 of the family's 1533-position model. The record is from RNAcentral.
GAUGAACGCUGGCGGCGUGCCUAAUACAUGCAAGUCGAGCGAACAGACGAGGAGCUUGCUCCUCUGACGUUAGCGGCGGACGGGUGAGUAACACGUGGAUAACCUACCUAUAAGACUGGGAUAACUUCGGGAAACCGGAGCUAAUACCGGAUAAUAUAUUGAACCGCAUGGUUCAAUAGUGAAAGACGGUUUUGCUGUCACUUAUAGAUGGAUCCGCGCCGCAUUAGCUAGUUGGUAAGGUAACGGCUUACCAAGGCAACGAUGCGUAGCCGACCUGAGAGGGUGAUCGGCCACACUGGAACUGAGACACGGUCCAGACUCCUACGGGAGGCAGCAGUAGGGAAUCUUCCGCAAUGGGCGAAAGCUUGACGGAGCAACGCCGCGUGAGUGAUGAAGGUCUUCGGAUCGUAAAACUCUGUUAUUAGGGAAGAACAAAUGUGUAAGUAACUAUGCACGUCUUGACGGUACCUAAUCAGAAAGCCACGGCUAACUUCGUG